AAAAGUAAAAAUACUUUUGGGAAGGUAAUCAGCAUUACUAUCAUAAACAUCAAUUCAUUGCUCAUCAUCAUCAUUCAUUGGAGGAAAACCCAAUGUUUAUUAAGCACACAAUGAAUAUCUCUAUUUCUUGAUUUAGCUCAUUGUAUUGUAGUGAGCAAUUGCUUCAACAGUGUAGUUUGACUUUGUUGCUUUCUAAUUUCUUAUGGAGAUAUGUUGAUUUUUUACAGACAACUUUGGGAAGAGUGACUA
RNAcentral lists this unclassified non-coding RNA (249 nucleotides) under Hevea brasiliensis (rubber tree). The record is from RNAcentral. Lineage: Eukaryota; Viridiplantae; Streptophyta; Magnoliopsida; Malpighiales; Euphorbiaceae.